AGGAGUGUAGUUCAAUGGUAGAACAUCAGUCUCCAAAACUGAGAGUAUGGGUUCGACUCCUGUCACUCCUG
Molecule: transfer RNA, 71 nt
Filed under: Anaplasma phagocytophilum
Lineage: Bacteria; Pseudomonadati; Pseudomonadota; Alphaproteobacteria; Rickettsiales; Anaplasmataceae
Rfam family: tRNA
About the family: Transfer RNA (tRNA) molecules are approximately 80 nucleotides in length. Their secondary structure includes four short double-helical elements and three loops (D, anti-codon, and T loops).
Source: Rfam by way of RNAcentral